This 508-nucleotide ribosomal RNA is filed under the name uncultured organism. RNAcentral's name for it is "bacterial SSU rRNA". It matches the Rfam family "Bacterial small subunit ribosomal RNA", at positions 28 to 507 of the family's 1533-position model. The record is from RNAcentral.
GACGAACGCUGGCGGCGUGCCUAACACAUGCAAGUCGAACGGAAUUAAGUUUAACACCGAAUGUUUCAUUUGGUGGGACACCGGUAAAACAGUCGGUGUUGGACUUAAUUUAGUGGCGGACGGGUGAGUAACGCGUGAGUAACCUGCCUUACAGAGGGGGAUAACGUCCGGAAACGGACGCUAAUACCGCAUAACAUAUUUGGGCUGCAUGGUCUGAAUAUCAAAGGAGCAAUCCGCUGAAAGAUGGACUCGCGUCCGAUUAGCUAGUUGGUGAGAUAAAGGCCCACCAAGGCGACGAUCGGUAGCCGGACUGAGAGGUUGAACGGCCACAUUGGGACUGAGACACGGCCCAGACUCCUACGGGAGGCAGCAGUGGGGGAUAUUGCACAAUGGAGGAAACUCUGAUGCAGCAACGCCGCGUGAGGGAAGACGGUUUUCGGAUUGUAAACCUCUGUCCUUGGUGAAGAUAAUGACGGUAGCCAAGGAGGAAGCUCCGGCUAACUACGUG